AAUAUUGGACAAUGGGGGCAACCCUGAUCCAGCCAUGCCGCGUGUGUGAAGAAGUUCUUCGGAUUGUAAAGCACUUUAAGUUGGGUGGAAGGGCUUUAGGCUAAUACCCUGAAGUUUUGACGUUACUAAUAGAAUAAGCACCGGCUAACUCUGUGCGAGCAGCCGCGGUAAUACAGAGGGUGCAAGCGUUAAUCGGAAUUACUCGGCGUAAAACGCACGGAGGUGGGUCAGGUAGAUUGGUGUUGAAACCCCCGGGUUUACCUGGGAAUUGCUUUCAAAACUGACGAGCUAGAGUACGGUAGAGGGUAGUGGAAUUUCCUGUGUAGCGGUGAAAUGCGUAGAUAUAGGAAGGAACAUCAGUGGCGAAGGCGACUACCUGGACUGAUACUGACACUGAGGUGCGAAAGCGUGAGGAGCAAACA
RNAcentral lists this ribosomal RNA (422 nucleotides) under uncultured bacterium. RNAcentral describes it as "partial 16S ribosomal RNA". It matches the Rfam family "Bacterial small subunit ribosomal RNA", at positions 360 to 774 of the family's 1533-position model. The record is from RNAcentral.